This 795-nucleotide ribosomal RNA is filed under the name uncultured bacterium. RNAcentral's name for it is "bacterial SSU rRNA". It matches the Rfam family "Bacterial small subunit ribosomal RNA", at positions 8 to 796 of the family's 1533-position model. The record is from RNAcentral.
AGAGUUUGAUCAUGGCUCAGAUUGAACGCUGGCGGCGUGCCUAACACAUGCAAGUCGAGCGGUAACAGGUGUAGCAAUACAUGCUGACGAGCGGCGAACGGGUGAGUAAUGCUUUGGAAUCUUCCCAGUAGUGGGGAACAACCAGUCGAAAGAUUGGCUAAUACCGCAUACGUCUGUGAAGAGAAAGCGGGGGAUCGUAAGACCUCGCGCUAUUGGAUGAGCCAAAGUCGGAUUAGCUAGUUGGUGAGGUAAUGGCUCACCAAGGCGACAAUCCGUAGCUGGUCUGAGAGGACGACCAGCCACACCGGAACUGAGACACGGUCCGGACUCCUACGGGAGGCAGCAGUGGGGAAUAUUGGACAAUGGGGGAAACCCUGAUCCAGCGACGCCGCGUGUGUGAAGAAGGCCUGCGGGUUGUAAAGCACUUUUAGUGGGGACAAAAAGUCAUAGGCUAAUAACCUGUGAUCUUGAUUUAACUCACAGAAAAAGCACCGGCUAACUCUGUGCCAGCAGCCGCGGUAAUACAGAGGGUGCGAGCGUUAAUCGGAAUUACUGGGCGUAAAGCGCGCGUAGACGGUUUUGUAAGUCAGAUGUGAAAUCCCCGGGCUCAACCUGGGAACUGCAUUUGAUACUGCAUGGCUAGAGUAUCGAAGAGGGAAGUGGAAUUUCCGGUGUAGCGGUGAAAUGCGUAGAUAUCGGAAGGAACACCAGUGGCGAAAGCGACUUCCUGGUCGAAUACUGACGUUCAUGUGCGAAAGCGUGGGGAGCAAACAGGAUUAGAUACCCUCGUAGUCC